AGCAGAGUGACAGAUGGUGCAUGGUUGUCGUCAGCUCGUGUCGUGAGAUGUUGGGUUAAGUCCCGCAACGAGCGCAACCCUUGAUCUUAGUUGCCAUCAUUAAGUUGGGCACUCUAAGGUGACUGCCGGUGACAAACCGGAGGAAGGUGGGGAUGACGUCAAAUCAUCAUGCCCCUUAUGACCUGGGCUACACACGUGCUACAAUGGACGGUACAAAGAGCUGCAAGACCGCGAGGUGGAGCUAAUCUCAUAAAACCGUUCUCAGUUCGGAUUGUAGGCUGCAACUCGCCUACAUGAAGCUGGAAUCGCUAGUAAUCGCGGAUCAGCAUGCCGCGGUGAAUACGUUCCCGGGCCUUGUACACCCC
This 365-nucleotide ribosomal RNA is filed under the name Bacillus cereus. RNAcentral's name for it is "bacterial SSU rRNA". It matches the Rfam family "Bacterial small subunit ribosomal RNA", at positions 1025 to 1391 of the family's 1533-position model. Lineage: Bacteria; Bacillati; Bacillota; Bacilli; Caryophanales; Bacillaceae. The record is from RNAcentral.